RNAcentral lists this ribosomal RNA (441 nucleotides) under uncultured bacterium. Its description in RNAcentral is "partial 16S ribosomal RNA". It matches the Rfam family "Bacterial small subunit ribosomal RNA", at positions 338 to 795 of the family's 1533-position model. The record is from RNAcentral.
CCUACGGGAGACUGCAGUGGGGGAUAUUGCACAAUGGGGGGAACCCUGAUGCAGCGACGCCGCGUGGGUGAAGGAGUGCUUCGGCAUGUAAAGCCCUAUCGGCAGGGAAGAAGCAAGACGGUACCUGACUAAGAACCCCCGGCUAACUACGUCCCAGCAGCCGCGGUAAUACGUAGGGGGCGAGCGUUAUCCGGAUUCACUGGGUGUAAAGGGAGCGUAGACGGCGAUGCAAGCCAGGGGUGAAAGCCCGGGGCCCAACCCCGGGACUGCCCUUGGAACUGUGCGGCUAGAGUGCGGGAGGGGCAGGCGGAAUUCCUGGUGUAGCGGUGAAAUGCGUAGAUAUCAGGAGGAACACCGGCGGCGAAGGCGGCCUGCUGGACCGCGACUGACGUUGAGGCUCGAAAGCGUGGGGAGCGAACAGGAUUAGAUACCCCUGUAGUC